CGGAGCGUGGCGCAGUUUGGUAGCGCACCAGCAUGGGGUGCUGGGGGUCGUGGGUUCGAAUCCCGCCGCUCCGACCA
Molecule: transfer RNA, 77 nt
Filed under: Rhodospirillaceae bacterium
Lineage: Bacteria; Pseudomonadati; Pseudomonadota; Alphaproteobacteria; Rhodospirillales; Rhodospirillaceae
Also listed under: 1 other name
Description: tRNA-Pro
Rfam family: tRNA
About the family: Transfer RNA (tRNA) molecules are approximately 80 nucleotides in length. Their secondary structure includes four short double-helical elements and three loops (D, anti-codon, and T loops). Further hydrogen bonds mediate the characteristic L-shaped molecular structure. tRNAs have two regions of fundamental functional importance: the anti-codon, which is responsible for specific mRNA codon recognition, and the 3' end, to which the tRNAs corresponding amino acid is attached (by aminoacyl-tRNA synthetases). tRNAs cope with the degeneracy of the genetic code in two manners: having more than one tRNA (with a specific anti-codon) for a particular amino acid; and 'wobble' base-pairing, i.e. permitting non-standard base-pairing at the 3rd anti-codon position.
Source: RNAcentral